Pyrus x bretschneideri (Chinese white pear) is the source of this 2399-nucleotide long non-coding RNA. RefSeq lists it as uncharacterized. The record is from RefSeq and is a predicted model, not a curated record. Lineage: Eukaryota; Viridiplantae; Streptophyta; Magnoliopsida; Rosales; Rosaceae. The transcript has 2 exons.
UGGAUGCUUCAUCGUGGUCGUUGGUUGAGAUCGUGCGGCCAUGGAUUUUUUUUUUUUUACUGCUCUUCGCACCAUCUUCUUCCUCAUUCCUUUUCGUACUGACAUCGACCUCUCUUCCUCUUUGUGCCGACAUUGACGGAUGGUCCAGCCACGAAAGCAUCGGGCGUUGCGUUGUAUUGGGCAAGGCGGAUGGGGACAGGGACAAAUACACCGUUAUUUUUGUUUUGGAGUUUUCUGAAGGGUAGGGGAAUUGUUUUUUGCGAUUUGGGGUUUGGGAUUCGGAAGUUUCUAGGGGCGAGGUAGAGGCUAGAGUAGGUCUAUUUGCGGCUGCCGGCGGAUUUGUUGAAGACGGAACUGCCGAUUUUAGGGAUAAACAUGUCGUCUUCGAAGCAGUGAGUGGGUGGGAUUGGGAUGAGGAGUUUAAAAAAUUUAAUAUCUGGCCACACGAUCUCAACGAACAGCCGGAUUGGGAUGAGGAGUUUAAAAAAUUUAAUAUCUGGCCACACGAUCUCAACGAACAGCCAGGAUGAAAGGUCAGGAUGGAUCCCAAGGAUAGAUUCGAAAAGGAUCUGUAUUUUGGUGUGCGCUCUAUUCUUCCCUUAUAUUUAAGACCUGGAUUUGGAGCAACCUAACAUUCUCUGUUAUGUAGACUGUUUUUUCAUUCAUUCUGUUAAGAAGAAGAUUUUUUUUUUUUUUUUUUAACAAAAGCGAUAUCGAUUUCAUUACUAACCAAGAAUAAUUAUGUUAAUGCAUGGUCAUUUUAUACACAUUAAAAUAACAAAUAAUUGUUAUGGGCCUAAUAGAUGGGCCUGAUGAGAGCUAGCGACCCAAAAACAGUAAACAAAGCACUACCACAUCAACCACUCUUGACCUUGGAUAGUCUACUGACAAGAAGGAACAAGCGUAGAACUUAAAGUACUUUUUGACUACUCAAGAUAGUUGGCAUGUCUAACAACUUUCUGGCAUAGAGUUCUAAUGACAGGUUUGUGCAAACAUCAACUCCGGAUCACGUGGAUCCCUAUCUGACCCAGUCCCACUCUUGUGGAUCACUGUUGGAUGAAAGACCGGUUGACCAGGGAUUAGAUCACCGUUGGAUGGAAGACUUCUUAGCCAAGGACUAGAUCACCAUUGGAUAAGAGACCUUUUGGCAUGUGAUGGGCCACCUCUUCUAAGUGGUCAGCUUUCUAGUAGUCGUCUCUCUUGUGGCCAGCUCUUCAUGGUUAUCUCUCUAGCUAUCGACUCUAGUGGUUAUCUUUCUAGCUAUCGACUCUAGUGGUUAGCUCUCUAUAAGACCACUUGUGAUGAACACUUCCUCCAAGUGGUGAGCACUCCGGAUGACCACCUCUUCUUAGCUCUCUACCGGAUGACCACUUCUCCCAAGAGCUCUAAGGAUGACCAUUUCACUUGAGUGCUCUACGGAAGACCACUUCUCCCGAGUUCUCUACGGACGACCAUCUCUCCCAAGUGCUUUAUGGACGUCUGCCUCUUCCGAGUGCUUUACGGACGACAGCCUCUCUCGAGUGCUUUCUACGAAUCACCACCAUUAAAUGAAAACACUAGAUAUUUAUUAGUUUGUAGAGAUUUUUUGGGAUUUAUAUAUCUAUUAAUCGGUAACUUUUAUGCCUGACAGCUUCAAUCCUUUUGAUUCCCACGUAUAGUUUGAAUUCUAUGGAUCCCCAUUUGAUCGCGAUGUUGAUCUCCUCGGCAAUGUUAUUCAAUCAUGGUGUGUCAUGGGAUGCUUGGGUCCCUAUAUUGUUAGCUGAGUAAUUUUAUCGAAUUGGUGGUCUUAAACAUGUACGGGCAGUAAUUGGAUAAUUAUUGUAUACAAAACAAUUUCAUACAAAGUCAACAUCAUCAAGUAUAUUUCAAAUAUGAAGGUAUGAUAGGAGUGGUGAGUAGAAUUUGUUGAAAAACCGCACACUAGAUCUUGUUCAUUAAUGUAACCAACGACAAUAGACUAAAACUUAGCAAAAGAGUGAAAACUAGAAAACACACAAGACUUAUACUAGUUCGGUAUAACUUUUGCCUACGUCCAGUUGUCAUUUCUCUGGGUAAAGAAAUCACCGCUCCUUUGAUUAAUAAUAGAGAUUAUAGAACUUUUGCAAACCCUAGAACUAAUCUCUCUCACUUGUCUCAACUGUCACAAUUUUUCCUCUCUAAAAUUUAAUCCUUGCCCCACCCUAUUUAUAGGCAUAGGGUGCAGUUUACAUGUCAUUUACAGAUUGUAAUUCCUAUUCUAAGUGGAAUAGGAAAUUAGACUUCCUUUCCAAUUCCAAAUAGACUUCUAGGAUUUCUAAUCUAAAUUGAAUAAGGAAACUAAGAUUCUUUCCUAGCCCUUUUAGGAGAAGAAUCGGUGCACCUUUUUUUUCCCUAAAACAAUCAUAAACAGAAAAUGACAC